UAUAAAAAAGUAUCAAUUAUAAAUUCAAACACUAAUUAAAAUAGCAUAUCAAAAAAUUAUGAACUAAUAAGAGAAAUUUAUUUACCUCACACAUCUCUAUCAGACAAAUUCUCCUUUUUAUCUUGUUCAAUAUGACGUGUGAGGUUCAAGUCAUGUUUGUUUUGUUAUUUAUGUUUUCAUGUACUUCAUCACUUUAUUGAUGAUUUUUUAAGAUGUAGGUAGAUUUUCUUGACAGUGUCUACUAUAGCGGCGACAGAGGCAACACGUAGUGGGUGCUACAUGACCAAACUUAAAGGAAGAUAGGGAAAAAAAAACUUGGGAGAUUUGGAUCUUAAUACCGUCUUGAAUGAAUUGCUUAAGAGAUUAACAAUAUAUUAAAGGUGGUGGGUGGCGACCGACCACCAUAGGCUGCAGUAGCUCCGUCCUAGCCCCACCGUUGACCAUUAUUAAGUCGUCGAAACUUCGUUGUGGAGCUCCAGUCGGCCUACGAUCAACCACCACUAAUGGUUAGGGUGUCAAAAGGAGUGUCCCCAUAUCCCAUCAUUACUCUAUUAUUAGAGGAAAUGUUUGAUAAGGUUAACAUAUUACUACUAUAUUAUUAUUCCAUUCCAUGAAUAUAUAAAGUUUUAAAAUCAGUGGCUAGUUUUAAUUUGUUAAAACGAUAGAUGAUGCAUUAUUGUGUCAGGCGACAAGUACUUUGUCGUAGUUAUUAGUCAAUUAGUCAACAUUGAGCCAUUCAUUUUUUUUUUCUUUUCUUUUGUAACAAUAUGAUAACGCUAAGGAGAACAUGUGUUUAAUCUGUUUAAUCAUAUGGUUGAGACUCGAUAA
Non-coding RNA from Cicer arietinum (chickpea), 828 nucleotides. The record is from RefSeq and is a predicted model, not a curated record. Lineage: Eukaryota; Viridiplantae; Streptophyta; Magnoliopsida; Fabales; Fabaceae.